Molecule: unclassified non-coding RNA, 268 nt
Filed under: Hevea brasiliensis (rubber tree)
Lineage: Eukaryota; Viridiplantae; Streptophyta; Magnoliopsida; Malpighiales; Euphorbiaceae
Source: RNAcentral
GUCUUUUGAUCGUCAAGGUAUUCUUUUUGGGAAACAACUUAGGUAGUAAAUUUCAAAUAUAUUGGGUGUGGAAUGAUGGCUCCUUUUGCUCCUUUUGGAAGAAAGGAAACAAACAAAACUUAUCUAAGAAAAUAAAGGGGAGAACAAUGAGUUUGCCUUUCUGUUAAUUGCUUAAUUCUAUGAUUAAAGCUUGUUCAUGCGGUUUAUAUUUGUGGAUUCAUGGUACUGUAAUCUGGAUGUUGACAGAAUUAUACCGGUGAUCGAUUAA